CAGGCCCUUCUGGUCACAUGAAGCCUCUUAAACCUCAAACUCCUAGGGACCUGAAUGCAUUCCAAGAGGCUGACCCAGCAACACUGGAGCUCCAGCUGAGGGCCUGGCAGUCCCAGCCCUACUUUGCUGGGCAGAGGACACAGGCAUUUCCAAGGCACCCUGGACUCCUGCCAGUGAGUCCCCAGAUGCCAUGCAAGACACACCUGACCGAGACUUCCAGCCUCCAGAACUGCAAGACAGUGGAUUCCAAUGUUUAAACUACUCUCUCCUGUUUCAACAAUGGCUCCUGGAAAAUGGCAUAACUGUCAGGGGUACACCUUUUUAUCAGGCUCGAUGACCCCAUCAACUAACCCGAACUUCAGGAGACCACUCUGUGAGCCUUCUCUGUGCGGGUGGGCAUUUGAGAGUUUGUGAAUAUCCCAGACAAUGCAGCCACAUGCUACUGCCCCAUUCUCUCAGAAAAGGAAACAGAAACCCACUAGGUCAGAAGACUGUCAUGGGUCACCAGCAGGGACAAAGUCCAGACUGACCUCUCCGAGCGUUCCCCAUGCUAUCUUGAUCUCCGUGGGAGACUCCAGGCGCCUGUGUCAUGCCAGACCUCUCUAAGUAACCUGGAAUUCCUGUGCAAUCCCUACUCUCUUGGAGAACCCCAAAUCUUUGUGUCAUUCCCAACCUUCAGGAGAUCUAAUUCCCCAUGCUAUCCCUGAUUUUCUGAGAAACCUGGACUCCCUUGUUAUCAAUGAUCUCCUUGGAAACCAAGCCUCAUUCCUCCUUUGACCUUCUUAUUGAUCCCAGUUCCCAUACCAGAAGCAUCAGACCAUCAUGUUAUCUCUGACCCCAGCCCCCAAAUGAUAUUCGUUCUGUGUGGCUGUCCCUGCUUGUCCAAACUGUCCUCCAGGACCCUCCCCUCCACAAGCAGGAGUGCCAGGCUUCCAUUUCAAGGGAAUUGUGCUGAGCCGUUCUUUGACAGUUCUGUCACUCAGCCCCCAUCUGCUUUAAGCCCUGCAAAGCCAUCUGCACAGUUCCAGGCUCUGUGACAGGGUCACUGCCAUCACUAGUCUGCAGGGUGUCUGGAACUCCAACUUCCUUGUAGACUCUACACUGUAGAGAGAUGGGACAAGGAAGAAAUGUUCUUGGUCCCCCUAAGUAGGAAGCGCCUAGCUUUCCCACCUACUGUGACCAGGAAUGAGACUCAGGGAAUGAGCCUCACACCUCAACGAAGCCCAUGGAUGAAGGAAAUGACUCAUGAGACAAGGGAAACUAUUGAAGGCUUCCUGGAGGUGCCAUUGUGUAGCUGGAUUCACGAAGAGAAGUCUGCCAUACCAAAGAGGCAGAGUAUGACAAAGGCCAGAAAUCCCAGCAGCCCUGGGACUAGUCCAUUUGUGGAUUCGUUGCAUUGCUCCCCCAUAACUCGGUAGGCAUCUGAAAUGGGAGGUUGAAAAUGGGGACCCACAGAGAGAGGACUCCUGGGUCUGUGCAGAAGCCCACUCAGUUGUCAGAGCCACAGUGACACCUCACCUAGAAGGAACACCCGCGAGCAGAGGCUUUCUAGUGGGACCGUCUCCUCAAGAAAGAAGCGUGGAGUUCGGUCUGCAAAGUGCUCACGGAUUUGGAAAGCCCGAGGACCUAAGUUUGAGUCCCCAGAAUGCUCGCAUUUGCAAUUUUUAAAGCUGGGCGUGGUGAUGGGUUCAUAUAUUCCCAGUGCUGAGGAGGUAGAAACUGACAGAUGCCCAAGGCUCACUGUCCAGUUAGUCUAAGCUAUUCGGUGAGUACCAGGCCAACGAGAGAAUCUGUCUCAACAAAGAUAAAAGAAGCUGAGCAUAGUAGCUGCUACCUUUAACCCCUACACUCAGGAAGCAGAGGCAGGUGGAUCUCUGAGAGUUUGAGGCCAACCUGGUCUACACAGUGAGUUCCAAGCUAACCAGGGCUACCAAGUAAAACCUGGUCUCAGAAACAUAAAAAUUGUUUAAAGCACAAACAGUACCUGAGCAACAACAGAUGAGGUUGUACUAUGGCCUCCAUAUGCAUGUAAAUGCAUGUACACACACACACACACACACACACAGAGAGAGAGAGAGAAAGAGAGAGAGAGAGAGAGAGAGAGUCAUUGGAGAGAAAUUGGCAAUUGGCAACCAUUGGCAAGUGACUUCUUAGACUUCAGAGAGGAAAUUGGAACCCCAAGCCCAGUGAGCAUAUGACAUCCUGGGCAAUGAAGUGGCCCAAGAGAUGUUAUGGACCCAGAAAAGGGUAGAUGGUAAAGGUGACCAGCCCAGACAAAAGCAAGCAUAGUAUCACAGAGUACUGAGGGAGUACAUGGGGAAUAGCAUUAACUGCCCAGACCACAUGCCUGGAUCAUACAAAUCUGACUGACGAUUCCACGGAUGUCUCUGGGAAUGCACCUGGUGGCCUACAUCAACUCCAUUCGUGGGCAUCUGGAUGCUUCUAGGUGACCUGGGACACUUCCGUUUCAAAGCCAGCAGAGGAUGAGCCGCUCAGUGAGAAACCCAAGAAGAGGGAAGAAAACAUGUGGACACUGAGCAUGUUGCUAAGAGCCAUUGGUUGCUAAGAAAAGGCAGCCAGGUGGAGAGCUAAAACUACACCUGGACCUAUAGCGGAAUUGCAGUGCCGAGCCACUAGUGGUUACAAGUACCUUCUCAGUGGCCCAGAGGCACAGCUGCCUAGGACACCACCCCUGGUAGUGUUUAUUCUUCACAAUUCAUAUCUACUAACAGAUUAAUAAAAAUCUACUAAUGGUGUCAUAGAAAGGGCCAGCUGAGAGGUAUGUAGAGGCCAGAUGGCUGGCCCGAUCCCCCAGGCCCUGGGCCUGAGGCUUCAAGCCAGGCCUUGCAUCCCACCCCUUACACAAGUUCCUAGGUGACUGUGCUCCCUCUAGUCCUUAUUCUACUGUCUGGGGACUCUGCUGUCCACACAGGGCCCCACCCCUGCAGAGAAGCCUCUGGAUAGAGAGACACCCUCAAAUAGUGAUUGCUGGCUUGGGAGCAGCUCCAAAACACGAUUCCACUGCAUAAAGCGAGAAUACCGAGUAGACACGUCUCAAGCGUUCGGUCUGGAGGAGUAAUUUGCUCCAGUGGGGGAAUUUCCUUCUCUUCAUUUUUGGAAAUGCCAAGAAACAACAUUUUAAGUAUGAUCAGAUAGCCCAGUUCAGUGGCCUAGCACACUCACCCACCACACCUCAGAGAACAAGAGCCCAGGGUUCCCCGUGAAAGGAACCAAGCUCAGACUUCUCAAAACAUGAAACCAUUUAUUUUGGCUUCAGAAAAAAAAAAUCCCUUAUGUCACACAUAUACACACGCAUACAGCUUUCAGUUCAUCAUGUGUAUGUGUCCCAGAACCUCUUCUGUGUCACUCAUACGGGCCCAGGGGACAGACCCAGGCUGGGUGGAGGUGCCCGUCUCUGUUCGACACAGGGUAUGCCCCAGUCUUCACGUCGCGCCUGCCACAGCUGGUGAAUCACUUGGACUGUGCACUUUCCCAGUUACUGUAGUUCUAGAAGCUGACUGAAAAAACCAGUAGCAGCUGGCAGGAAAUGAGUGAGAAAACUGACCACAGAUAAAAUGCAAUGCUCUACAGGAGCGGCAGAUAGACUCCAGACCAGGAAGUUAUGCUAGCAGGACUCAAGGCUGAAAGGACACAGACCCCAACAGGACCCCAGAACCCGCUGUGGGGACUGGUGCUAUGACUUCACAGUGGGACCGGGCUCUAUCCAACGCGAGCACAUCCGGGCACAGCCAUAUCCACUGGAGGAGAAAGGGGACUUCAGAAAAGAUAAGCACCAAGCCGAGUCCUGGCCUCUGGGGUUCCCAGCAUCCCAAACAAAGACCAAAGCUACAAUGACCUGGAUAUGAUCUAACAGGCUGGGUUACCAUUACCUAUGAACUCUCUAAUGAGGGUCCCUGGAGGGGAAAAAGAAAAAAAGACCUGUUCUAGAGCUCAAGAAGUACAUGAGAAUGGUGACAAGUCCAGAGAGUCUGACCUUCCGGAUCUCUACAUCUUCUUGACAGACUCAGAUGGCACAGCUCUGUGUGAUACAAAACAUGAUCUCUGGGCAGCAGAACAGACCCUUCCCAUGUGUGGCCCUCCUUCAGACUUUCUGGCAUCGUUGAUGGGUCAGAUAAUCCUGUGUUGUCUCACAUUUCAGAAGAGCAAGCAUGGCCUGUAAGCCAGAUGUGUAAGCAGGGUGCUCCCUAUGCACUGGAUGCUAAUGGCCUCUCUUGAGCAAUGAGACAUUGGUUGCUAAGAAAAGGCAGCCAGGUAGAGAGCUAAAACUACACCUGGACCUACAGCAGAAUUGCAGUGCCGAGCCACUAGUGGUUACAAGUACCUUCUCAGUGGCCCAGAGGCACAGCUGCCUAGGACACCCUGGUAGUCCCUUUCCUGAUAGCAGCUACCUUUUUCACACCUAAAGUAGACCCAGGAGUUCUUCUGAGAGCUGCCACGGCAGGAAGUGACCAAGCUGUGAGCCACCAGCUUCACUGUGAUGUGCGCGCACUUUCCGAUGAGUUGCCAUGACAAGGGGCAGUAGCAGCUGCGCUUGAACUCGUGACUGGCUGCAGUCCCUUGGAAAGGGAAGGGGCACAUCUGGAAGGCGGGUCCAAGUGCCCAUGAGGCUCGGGGUGAGAUUCCUUUCCUGUGUGGAGAGGUUGCAGGGAACACCUGCCCUGUGAGCAGGUGGUCCCCUACGCUGGGCCCCUGGGCUAUUGCUUGGGUUAGCAAGACAUGCUUCAGCUGAGGCUGACUCACUCUCGUUCCUGGAACCGUCUGAAGGCGGGAGAGGAUGCUGUGGGUAGGCUCCAACUGUAUCAUCUGGGCUGGGGCCGGUAGCAGAUGGUCCUUAUUUAAAAAAAAAAAAGACAUGCUUCCAUGUGGCCUUAAAAUAGCACAGUUUUCACCAUCAGUCGAAUGGGGAAAUGUACGAGCUAGUUGUUCACAUGGGAGUGGGCAUUGUGGACUUGGAAGCAGGAAUGAGGGGCCUAGGCAUCAGCUGUGGCCAAAAGAGACUGUGGUGCCCACCUCAUGCUUGGCUUCACUUUGUCAGGUGGCUUACCAACCCAAGUGAAGCCCAUAGUAAUUUCAAAACCUCAGGAUCCUUCCAAACGCCUCCGUGAGCCUUGGAGAAGCCACAGACCUGAUACACAAGGCUGGACAUGGGGACAGCAGCACUUCCUACUGGCCUUUCAUAGGCAGCUGGGGAAACCCGUUCAUCACCCAGCAAGUGGGAAAGACAUGGAUACCCAACAAGGGGUCUGAAGAUAAUGCUGGCUGGCCCUGAGCUGAUCUCUGUACUUGAGUCUAGAGAAAUGUGGAAGCCAGCCUCUGGUUCUGCCCCAGAGAAGCUCUCGCGUCCGUCCCUCACAGUCUCUGUCUGUGGCAGGUUACUUCCUCUUUGAACCUCAGUUUCCUUAUCUGUCAGAUGGAGCAAACAUGGGGACCUGCCGUGGGAGAACCCCAGCACAAGCAGGUGCUCUACACAGGGAACCUGUCGUGGCCUGUUCUCUCUCUAAGGGAGAAGGGAACCCUUAGCCUUUCCUGUUACUUUAAAUGAUACCUCUAUCCAUACUUAAAUCUCAUUGUGUUUUGGCAGGUAGAAAUGUCAGCUCUGAGGUCCUUGGCCCUAUGCUACCCUCCCUGGGCUGCUGCUAUGUGGAUGUGGAGGGAAAGAAACAGAAGUUGCUGCAUCUUACUCCACCCUAAGAAAGGCUGUGGUGGGCAGCCUGGUCUCCUCCUGCUGUCCAAAACCUGAGAGCCCAGUAAAUAGUAGCCUAGGUCACCAUGGACUUUGAAAGACAGAAUACUUCCAGACACAUGGCAGAGAUGAGAGAGCUGCGAGGAAAACAGGGGCCCCCUGACAUCCAGUCGAGACAGGGGCUUGUCUGAGAUUUCCACUGAGCAAGCCCCAGACAUCUUAAAAAGUCUUGGAUGUAUGGCAUUCUAGUAGAUGUGCAACAAUCAGCUCCGGGAGGUAGGGAAAUUAGAAGUAGCUCUGGUUGUAGCUUGUGCCGAUUUGUAUGGUGUAAACAUCCCCCUGCCUUGGCCAAUUUCAUCACUAAAGGCAAAUUCAGGAAGAGCAAAGCAUAGUCUGCUGCCCUGAGCACCAAGUCUCACACUCAGAGCAUAUGAGAACAGAUGGCCCUUCCCACAAGAGUCUUUCUAUCUGCUCCGAAGAUCUAGAACAGACAGUGACCAGUAUCAGCAAGAAGGCAGAGGAGCAGAAGGGUUGUGGAGUGUUACAGGUUGGGUAUGGAAAGUCCCCCACAGAUGCACAUGUUUGAACACUUGCUCUCCGGUUGGUGGUGCUAUCUGGGAAGUUUCUGGAACCCUUUAAAGGUGAGGCUGUGGUGAUUUAAAUAGGAAUAGUCUUCUUGGGCUCCUAGUUGGGAGUACUUGGUUCUCAGAUGGUUUGGGGAGGAUUGGGAGGCGUGGCCUUGUUGGAGGAGGCGUGUCACUGGGGGGUGAACUCUGAGGUUUCAAAAGACUCCUAGUGUUCUUCCUCUGCCUUAUUGUUGUGGAUAAAAAUGUGAGUUGAUCUUCCUUCCUCCAUCGUAUAUUGUAGCCCUCUGAAACUGUAAGCCAAAGUAAAUGCAUGGUGUUUUAUCACAACAAGAGAAAAGUAACUAAAACAAGGGCCUAUGUGGAGGAAGUGGAUCUCUGGGGAGGUAGGCCUUGAGGUUUACAGUCCUGCCCAACUUCCUGUCCCCUCUCACCUUUGUAGUCCAAAAAGAUAUGAGCAUACAGCCAUGCGUUCCUGCAAGGAGGCUUUCUCUAUUAUGACAAACUCUUCCUUCAAAGUCUCAUCCCAA
This is a non-coding RNA of Rattus norvegicus (Norway rat), 6818 nucleotides long. NCBI's taxonomy places the organism in Eukaryota, Metazoa, Chordata, Mammalia, Rodentia, Muridae. The record is from RefSeq and is a predicted model, not a curated record.